UGUGGUAAUUCUAGAGCUAAUACAUGCUAAAAACCUCGACUUCGGAAGGGGUGUAUUUAUUAGAUUAAAAACCAAUGCCCUUUGGGGCUCUUUUGGUGAUUCAUAAUAACUUAACGAAUCGCAUGGCCUUGCGCCGGCGAUGGUUCAUUCAAAUUUCUGCCCUAUCACUUUUCGAUUGUAUAGUAGUGGUAUACAAUGAGGACGACGGGUAACGGGGAAUUAGGGUUCGAUUCCGGAGAAGGAGCCUGAGAAACGUAAGUUGAGAGAGUUUAUUUUUUGACAUCUUUUACCAGUCGUCUACCCUCUUCAGGAAAAAUCAAAAUUCCACCCAACAGCUUUGCCACCGUGGACCUACCCUCUUCACAAAAACUGUGCUGACAUGUGUGUUAAUAGGGCUACUACAUCCAAGGAAGGCAGCAGGCGCGCAAAUUACCCAAUGCCGACACGGCGAGGUAGUAAGUAUAUCAUGGUCCACCCAUUGUGAAUCUGGCUAACGUUGAUCAGGUGACAAUAAAUACUGAUACAGGGCUCUUUUGGGUCUUGUAAUUGGAAUGAGUACAAUUUAAAUCCCUUAACGAGGAACCAUUGGAGGGCAAGUCUGGUGCCAGCAGCCGCGGUAAUUCCAGCUCCAAUAGCGUAUAUUAAAGUUGUUGCAGUUAAAAAGCUCGUAGUUGAACCUUGGGCCUGGUUGGCCGGUCCGCCUCACCGCGUGCACUGGUCCGGCCGGGUCUUUCCUCCUGGGGAACCUCAUGCCCUUCACUGGGUGUGUUGGGAAAUCAGGACUUUUACUUUGAAAAAAUUAGAGUGUUCAAAGCAGGCAUAUGCUCGAAUACAUUAGCAUGGAAUAAUAGAAUAGGACGUGUGGUUCUAUUUUGUUGGUUUCUAGGACCGCCGUAAUGAUUAACAGGGGCAGUCGGGGGCAUCAGGUAAGCUAAUUUUCCUUGUAGUAGGUUGUAACACACGCUAAUACAUCGCAGUAUUCAAUUGUCAGAGGUGAAAUUCUUGGAUUUAUUGAAGACUAACUACUGCGAAAGCAUUUGCCAAGGAUGUUUUCAUUAAUCAGGAACGAAAGUUAGGGGAUCGAAGACGAUUUUUGGGCAGUCUCACGCUUUAACAAGCC
Molecule: ribosomal RNA, 1120 nt
Filed under: Caesiodiscus populicola
Lineage: Eukaryota; Fungi; Ascomycota; Leotiomycetes; Helotiales
Description: SSU rRNA
Rfam family: Eukaryotic small subunit ribosomal RNA
Source: RNAcentral